RNAcentral lists this ribosomal RNA (363 nucleotides) under uncultured bacterium. Its description in RNAcentral is "bacterial SSU rRNA". It matches the Rfam family "Bacterial small subunit ribosomal RNA", at positions 30 to 394 of the family's 1533-position model. The record is from RNAcentral.
AUUGAACGCUGGCGGAAUGCUUUACACAUGCAAGUCGAACGGCAGCACGGGGCAACCUGGUGGCGAGUGGCGAACGGGUGAGUAAUAUAUCGGAACGUGCCCAAUCGUGGGGGAUAACGUAGCGAAAGUUACGCUAAUACCGCAUACGAUCUACGGAUGAAAGCGGGGGAUCGCAAGACCUCGCGCGAAUGGAGCGGCCGAUAUCAGAUUAGGUAGUUGGUGGGGUAAAGGCUCACCAAGCCAACGAUCUGUAGCUGGUCUGAGAGGACGACCAGCCACACUGGAACUGAGACACGGUCCAGACUCCUACGGGAGGCAGCAGUGGGGAAUUCUGGACAAUGGGCGGCAAGCCUGAUCCAGCCA